This 253-nucleotide ribosomal RNA is filed under the name uncultured bacterium. RNAcentral's name for it is "partial 16S ribosomal RNA". It matches the Rfam family "Bacterial small subunit ribosomal RNA", at positions 524 to 776 of the family's 1533-position model. The record is from RNAcentral.
UACGUAGGGGGCAAGCGUUGUCCGGAAUCAUUGGGCGUAAAGAGCGUGUAGGCGGCCAGAUAAGUCCGCUGUGAAAUCUCGAGGCUCAACUUCGAGCUGUCGGUGGAAACUGUCGGGCUAGAGUCCGGAAGAGGCGAGUGGAAUUCCCGGUGUAGCGGUGAAAUGCGCAGAUAUCGGGAGGAACACCAAUGGCGAAGGCAGCUCGCUGGGACGGUACUGACGCUGAGACGCGAAAGCGUGGGGAGCAAACAGG